RNAcentral lists this transfer RNA (74 nucleotides) under bacterium. RNAcentral's name for it is "tRNA-His". It matches the Rfam family "tRNA". Rfam says of the family: Transfer RNA (tRNA) molecules are approximately 80 nucleotides in length. Their secondary structure includes four short double-helical elements and three loops (D, anti-codon, and T loops). The record is from RNAcentral.
GGGUACGUAGCUCAGCCGGCUAGAGCAGCGGUCUGUGGAACCGCGGGCCACGGGUUCGAAUCCCGUCGUACCCA